Molecule: ribosomal RNA, 1334 nt
Filed under: Bacillus altitudinis
Lineage: Bacteria; Bacillati; Bacillota; Bacilli; Caryophanales; Bacillaceae
Description: bacterial SSU rRNA
Rfam family: Bacterial small subunit ribosomal RNA
Source: RNAcentral
CGCUGGCGGCGUGCCUAAUACAUGCAAGUCGAGCGGACAGAAGGGAGCUUGCUCCCGGAUGUUAGCGGCGGACGGGUGAGUAACACGUGGGUAACCUGCCUGUAAGACUGGGAUACUCCGGGAAACCGGAGCUAAUACCGGAUAGUUCCUUGAACCGCAUGGUUCAAGGAUGAAAGACGGUUUCGGCUGUCACUUACAGAUGGACCCGCGGCGCAUUAGCUAGUUGGUGAGGUUAACGGCUCACCAAGGCGACGAUGCGUAGCCGACCUGAGAGGGUGAUCGGCCACACUGGGACUGAGACACGGCCCAGACUCCUACGGGAGGCAGCAGUAGGGAAUCUUCCGCAAUGACGAAAGUCUGACCGGAGCAACGCCGCGUGAGUGAUGAACGGUUUUCGGAUCGUAAAGCUCUGUUGUUAGGGAAGAACAAGUGCAAGAGUAACUGCUUGCACCUUGACGGUACCUAACCAGAAAGCCACGGAUAACUACGUGCCAGCAGCCGCGGUAAUACGUAGGUGGCAAGCGUUGUCCGGAAUUAUUGGGCGUAAAGGGCUCGCAGGCGGUUUCUUAAGUCUGAUGUGAAAGCCCCCGGGUCAACCGGGGAGGGUCAUUGGAAACUGGGAAACUUGAGUGCAGAAGAGGAGAGUGGAAUUCCACGUGUAGCGGUGAAAUGCGUAGAGAUGUGGAGGAACACCAGUGGCGAAGGCGACUCUCUGGUCUGUAACUGACGCUGAGGAGCGAAAGCGUGGGGAGCGAACAGGAUUAGAUACCCUGGUAGUCCACGCCGUAAACGAUGAGUGCUAAGUGUUAGGGGGUUUCCGCCCCUUAGUGCUGCAGCUAACGCAUUAAGCACUCCGCCUGGGGAGUACGGUCGCAAGACUGAAACUCAAAGGAAUUGACGGGGGCCCGCACAAGCGGUGGAGCAUGUGGUUUAAUUCGAAGCAACGCGAAGAACCUUACCAGGUCUUGACAUCCUCUGACAACCCUAGAGAUAGGGCUUUCCCUUCGGGGACAGAGUGACAGGUGGUGCAUGGUUGUCGUCAGCUCGUGUCGUGAGAUGUUGGGUUAAGUCCCGCAACGAGCGCAACCCUUGAUCUUAGUUGCCAGCAUUCAGUUGGGCACUCUAAGGUGACUGCCGGUGACAAACCGGAGGAAGCGUGGGGAUGACGUCAAAUCAUCAUGCCCCUUAUGACCUGGGCUACACACGUGCUACAAUGGACAGAACAAAGGGCUGCGAGACCGCAAGGUUUAGCCAAUCCCACAAAUCUGUUCUCAGUUCAGGAUCGCAGUCUGCAACUCGACUGCGUGAAGCUGGGAAUCGCUAGUAAUCGCGGA